Long non-coding RNA from Daphnia magna, 1277 nucleotides. RefSeq lists it as uncharacterized. Lineage: Eukaryota; Metazoa; Arthropoda; Branchiopoda; Diplostraca; Daphniidae. The transcript is spliced from 2 exons. The record is from RefSeq and is a predicted model, not a curated record.
UCCGCCAUUUUUCUUUUUUCGAGGUAAAUCAAGGUCUUAAAUAAUUAAUCUUUCCCUUUUCCGUAAUAAUAUAGUACUUAUAACCCGGAAGAUUUCUCUCGCCCCCUCGAGUGUCAGUGCAAUCCCGGCGUGUACACAAUUGUGUUCAAAUUCCGUGGAAGUUGCCACCGUGUGGAAAGCGUUAAGCGGAUAGAAAGUUUUCUUUUUCUUUUAACGAAUUUGUUAUUGUGUUUUUUUUGUUUUGUUUAGUUGAACGUAUCAGGGCUGGUGUAGGUUGGCUAAACACUUUCUACAGCAAUGGAUUCCUACCGGAAUCCGUCGAGGUCGCUGUCCUUUGCUGCUUGCAUCAGCUUUAUAGACUCUCUUUACUAUGGUUGGUGGUAAUAGUCUAUUGCCACUUUGGAUAUCUAGGAAUUCAGCACAGAAAAUAACCUUGGUAAGAGGAAAUGAUGAACAGAUAAAGAAGAAAAAAAACGUCCUUAACUUGAGAAGAAAUCGAUCCCUGGAAAAAAGCACAAGGAGCAUGCAAAUUCAAUAAUGAAUAAUGAAUAACAUACGAUAUCAAUCGGCCAUGAAUCGAAGCCUUUGAUGACCGGUAGAAAGAUACGGAAUUAAAAAAACGGACCGUCUUCCCACUUCCGUCAUGAUUUGACCUCUCUCAUCGAGUCAAGUGUGUCAACAAACCGUCCCGGUCUCUCUUUCUGUUUGAUGAUAAUCAAAGCCAUUCCUCCUUCACUUUUACGUUUGGAAAAAGAAACUAGACUUAAAAAAAAAAAAUUGUUUUUAUCAGAUUGUUUUUUUGUUUUUUUCACGAACUUUUGGAAAAAGACAUAGACGCCAUCUACAAUCUAGAAACUAAACAAGAAAGUAAUGUUGUAUUCAAACAAUCAUCAGUCAAUGCCAUGUUAUGAAAACAAAUUAAAAAAAAAAGAAAAAAAGAUUAUUCUUAUAUGUUAGGUUGUAUCGCCAAGCGAGAAAAAAAGUUAUUGAUGGCCAUAAAGGCAACUUCUAGGGGAAGCAAGAAAAUAUGACACUCGCUUCAAUUUCUUUUUGUUUUGCCUUUUUUUUUUUAAAAGAGCACAAAGCUUUUUGGGAAUAAACGGGAUCACCAAAGAAGAAAACAAACUGUCUAGUUCAGGGAGAAAAAAAAAAUCAAUCAAAAACAAAAUUAAAGAAAAAGAUGAUGACGUUCGAUGUCAAAGAAGAUCGAAAUCGCCUACUCCAUCUAUUGGACUUGAUGGCAAAAAACAAAAAAACAUCGCAACUCAAACAGGUUG